UGUUUUGUAGCUCAGUGGUAGAGCGGAAGACUGCAAAUCUUUCGGUCACCAGUUCAAUCCUGGUCAAAACCU
This is a transfer RNA of 72 nucleotides. It matches the Rfam family "tRNA". From Rfam's summary of the family: Transfer RNA (tRNA) molecules are approximately 80 nucleotides in length. Their secondary structure includes four short double-helical elements and three loops (D, anti-codon, and T loops). The record is from Rfam.